UGAAAUCCUCCGAAAUAUAAGGGUAACGGCUUGCGGAUUUGCCCGUUCGGCCCCGCUCCUCCGCCAACGUUCAUCAGAUUUCCCUUUCUCACUCCAUCGGCAGAUCGACCUCCCUCGAGUCUCCCUCUCUCACUUCAUCAUCAUCGCAUUCGCGGCUGCGGAUUUGACAGUGGAACCUAUGAUGGUUCCGAUCCGAUGUACGCARAGAAGACCAACCUCAACUCAAGAAUCAGCCGUGUUGCUGGCGAAUCAUCCCUGAAGGCUGGCCAUGUUACUGCUCUACGCUAAAUGGAGAAUGCAAUAAUUAAGAAUGAAAGCAUCAUCAACCACCACAAGAAUGUCAAGUUCAUUUGUGCGAUGUGACAUCUCUAGAGCUUAGCAUUUCCCACGAGUCAACAUACUUGAUAUUCUCAAAUUGGUUGCUAUGAACUUAAAACUGAUAAAGAGGUGGAGAAUUUGGCCGGAGCGAUAGUUAAAUGGUUGAUUUUUUGUGGAUAUACAUUCUUAAGUGAGCGGUCUGGAGAUUCCAAGCGCAAAUAAGACCAACACAUUAUAGGGAAAUAGUUCUAGACUAGGAAUCCUCCCAGCGGAAAGAGAUGUGUAUCGUCUUAACAAAGCAUUGAGUAAGAAAUCAGGUCAACCUAGGCGGCAUCUGCUCACUACUGGGUGGAGUAUUUUUGUUGGCCAAAAGAAUCUUAUUUAUGGGGGUGCAGUGCUCUUUCUAAGGGAAAAUAAGAGAUUAGAGUAUCCAGGGCGAUCUUACACACAUGCUCAAUUUCAACCCACUAACAAGUGGAAGAGAAAAAGAACCGGAAUGUGUCAUCACUAGGGACUAGUUAUUGUUGAUUAGUAGGACAGCAAACCAUAUGGGAUUGUGUGAGCUCAUUCGGUGGUCCUUUAUCAUGUCAAGUACUUAACUCUCCURUUAGACCUCGAGUUGUCAAUAUUUACUCUAGGAGGGUAGGUUGGGAAUUUCGCUUGUUAGUUAGUUAGGGGAGGGCUGUACGGCUGAGUGGGAGGGGAAUUAUAGGCAGGGAUCCCCCUCGGGAGGAGGGCAGUUUGUUUUUGGUUAGGAGAAAUAGCGAGAGCUAUUGGGGAGAGAAACCAACCCUCUCGAAUAUGUUGGUCGACUGUAAGCCCAUGGGGUUCCUUUGUUUUGAAUAUCAAGAAUCGUAAGUGAGUUCCCUUAUGAGCUCCUGGGGAAGUUGAGCAAGAUGGCCCAGAAAAAAUUGGAAGAGAGAUGAGAUGCAGCCGAAGCCGUGAUGGCGAGUCUGAAGGAGUCAAACGCCAUUCAGGGACAAGUUGAAUCAAACCAGAAGAUGCGGGAGAAGUUUAUGGCUCAGAUGGAGGCUCAUCAGAAGUCCACAGUGAGAUUCAUGGUCGAGAUCACCGAAGAUAAGUCGUCUUUGCUUGUUUCGAUAGUAGGAGAAACGAUCGUCUUCCAAACAUGGAGCGUCGAGCGAGCACCAAGUAGUUGAAUCGAUCGAACAGGGAGGGGAUCAGAGCAAAUUUAAGAAAGUCGAGAUACCAAUUUUCACAUACUACAAGAAGAUGAUUGUAGCUGUUAUUAGUUUCGUGGGAGUUGCUCUUGCGUGAUACUGUUGGUGUGAUAACCGUCAGAAAUUCUUAGAUUGGGAUGAUUUGAAGGUACAUAUGGAUCAGAGUUAUUCCGGCCACAGGGACAACUUCACCGCAGUACAACUUAUCACCCUUAAACCAAUGGCCAGUCGGAAAGGGUUAACCAGUGCCUCAAAGGUGCUUGUGCAGUGAUUCCUCGAGGCAAUGGGGACAUUGGUUACCUUUGGCCGAAUUCUGGUACAAUACCACGUACCACCUUUUGGGGGGCACUACCCCGUUUCAUAUUGUAUAUGGUCGUGCACCUCCCUCAUUAAUUGGGUAUGGAAGGCAAAAGACUGGCAAUGCAACACUAGGUCAACAACUGGAAGAACGCGCUGAGGCUCUUGCUCGCAUAAAGGAACAUCUACGGGUGGCCCAGGAUUGCAUGAAGAAAUUCGCUGAUAAGAUUAGGUGUGAUCUGGAAUUUGCAGCAGAGGACUGGGUGUUUCUGAAAUUGCGGCCAUAUCGACGGAAAACAAUGGCAAAACGUUGGAAUGAGAAGCUAGCUCCCAAGUACUUUGAUCCAUUUGAAGUACUCCAGCGGGUGGGGAAGGUGGCCUACAAGCUAAAACUACCGGUUGGGUCGCUGAUACAUCCUAUAUUCCACGUUUCACCGCUCAAAAGAGCAGUGAGAGUAUAGACUACUGUUCAUCCACUCACGCCGUGGGUGACGACUAGUAUGGGAUGGCUUGCUGAGCUAGCUGAGGUGUUUGCCACCAGAACUAAUGACAAGACUCAAAAGGAAGAAGCUUUAAUUGCCUGGAAGAAUCUAGCUGAAGAGGAAGCAACGUGGGAGGUUGUCGAGGACUUAUAUAAGCAAUUCCCUGAAUUUAGCCGAUGGAACYUUGCUGAUGCCCGCACCUUGGGAACAAGGUGGAUCUGGAACAGGGGGCUAUGUUAGACCUCCAGUCGUCAAUACUUACUCUAUGAGGGGUAGGUUGGGAAUUUCGCUUAUUAGUUAGUUAGGGGAGGAUCGUACGACUGAGUGAGAGGGGAAUUAUAGGCGGGGAUCCCCCUCGRGAAGAGGACAGUCUAUUUUUUGUUAAGAGAAAUAGCAAGAGCUAUUGGGGAGAGAAACCAACCUCCUCGAAUAGGUUGGCCGAUGGUAAGCUUACGAGCGUUCUUUGUUUUGAAUAUCAAGAAUCGUAAGGGAGUUCCCUUACAUCUACUACAUUGCAUACCCUUCCGCGCCUUGUAAAAAAAGUGACUUAUUAGAGAGUUAGUUGGUGGGUGCAGCUGAAUGUUAGUAAAUAAGUUUCAUGUUAAACUAUCUUUUCUAGUUCUUUUCGUUAAAGAUGUUUGUUCGAUAACUGAACUGAAUUUGGUACUUGCUUUUGUUCUUAAGAAGAAAAUGUCUUAAUGUCAUGUAAUUGUUAAUAGUUAUAUUUAUUUAAAACUACAAAACUGUAGCCUAUUUUCUCUAGUUAUUUGGAAUGUGCAAGUCCUACAUUUCAUGAAAUUUGUUGGUGAAAUACCUGGCAGGUGAAUGCCACCUCAUUUUGUCUUUAGUUCUGUCGGAGUAUAAAUAAUCGAACGUUAAAUAGAUUUUGAUGGCUUGUUAUUUUCUUUCUAUGAUCUACCAAUUUUGAACUGAUUUUACACAUCGAUGACUAAUAAUUAUGUCUACUUUUGUUAGCUCUUCAGACAUUUAGUCAUUUUAUUGUGUUGCGUUUUUAAAGUUGGUAGUUCUUGACUUUUGAGCAAGAAUGUUUACGGCCGUACAUGAGAUUUUGGAAGUGCAGAGGUCUUAACACUUCUUCAUCCUUGAUUUUAUAAUCUCUCUAGCUCACUCUUUAUAAAUUUUGAAUUUUGAUAUAUCUUCGAUAUCAAUAGCCUGCCAUUUUGUUUUUUGUUGUUUUUUUUUUCAGUUCUUAAAAAUUGGUCUUUUGGAUCAUCAGCAUAGAUCCCUAUCUUCGUUUUCUCUGUUUUUCAAUAAUAUAUUUGUUGUUGUGGCUGCUAGCGAUCUUUUAAAAGUAUUUGUGAUUUGUGGAAGUAGUAUUUAUUUGAGUGAGAACAAUGGAUAGAAUGACAGUAAUGACAUGCACCAAUUUUCAAUGGGCACUUUUGAUCUACUUUUACUCUUUUAUCUUUGAAUUAUUAGCUGCAAUGUUUACUUUAUGGUGUUGGCUCUUGUUUGCUUUUAGAUAUCUUUGAUUGUAGAUCUAGUGUCACUUGUCGGUGGACUAAGAAGCACGAACAGGACAGRGACACCACGAUAGGUUCAUUUAGUUUUUGCAAAUAUUUGAUACAGCCACCCUCUUCUUGCUAGGCUAUCCCUUGUCGGCAAUCUUUCAUGGCAUACCCACCACAUAAAAAUCUUAAUUUUACUGAGAACUUUCAACUUCCAGAAUCCCUUCCACCAAGCCAAUCUAAGCUAAAGGCGAAAACAAGUUAUUCUCAAAUUCUCCUUAAAAUGAGAUCACUAUUUGACUUGUUGGGAGAUAAGCAAACUCCACAUCAACAUACAACUUUAGUGGUUGGAAGCAAGUAAAUUUGUUCUCGUGAUGCUCCCUCGUUCUCAAUAGUAUUACAAGGACACGGAAACUUUUCAGAAGUCCUUUGCGUUUGCUACUAUUUCGACUUAAUUAGCUGCUCUCUCUAUUCUUUAAUUUCCCUUUUUGUUGCUGCUAAAGAAUCUUGGGUGGGGACUUGUUUGAAUGAGUAUUUUUAGUGUGAAGAAAAUCCAGUUGGUAGAGAAUCACUUGCAAGGAUGAUGGAAACAUUUCCCAACCCACAGUCCAAAAAGUUUCGUGAGCCGCAUGGUUACUAUCUCUUCGGCAAUAGGUGAAUUCCACUUCUUUCAAAGCUUUCGAGAGAUUGAUAAUUUCUUGGACAAUCAUUAUGGAAGGGGCAGUCGUGCUCCAAUAAUACAGUGGAGGUGGAUGGAUUGAUGGAUAUAUCAUAUAUUCCUGUAUGGUGUAUCCUACAGGCUACAGUACACUCUCAUCUUAUGGGCAGUCACGAGUGGGACUCCACUAUUCUCAUUUCUCUCUAAUUACUUCUCUUCCUUUCUCCACUCUCUGACUACACAGAAUAUUUAUUAUUCUCUCACUCUCUCUCUCUUCAACAACAUUACAUGUAAAACAAAAACUGAUGCCUCCUGCCUGCCUACACCAUAUUUCUGUGCACAACGCUAACAUUUCAUUUCAAUUUCAUCCACUUUUUAACAGAAAAUACUACAUUUACAACUCUCACAUUUCUCUCCUCUCUCUCUCUCUCUCUCUCUCUCUCUCUCUCUCUCUCUCUCUCUCUCCUCAACUCAAACAAAAACCCACAAGAAAAAAAGCCAGAAAAUUCAUUAUUAUUCUUUUCUGUUUCUUUUUUACAGAAUGGGAAGGGAACAACUAUAGCUACAAACUAAUUAAAACCUCCUUCAUUGGAUUUUGGACCACAGCCACAGUAGAAGCAGAACAAAAUCUUCUUCUUACUUGUUAAUCGCCUGCGCCUGCGGUGGCUCGAUCUUGUGCUCUGAGUAUAAUAGUCCGGCGCACGCAGUGGGUUGGGUUUUUGGUUUAAUUUAAUUAAUAUAUUUAUUAUUAUUAUUGUACAUAUGGGCGGUAAUUAAUAGAUUAAAAAGAGCAGCUCAGGAGGGAUAGACAAGGAAGGAGAAGAUGAGUUGGGUGGAAAUAGGGAUAGAUUGUACUCAAACUCUACAUGGGUCACUCCCAAAAUAGAGCAUGAAAUCAAAUGGAAGGUAGAGGGAAGGGGUAUACUAUUGGGUCUUACAAGGUCAAGAAAAGGUCUUACAAGGUCAAGAAGACUGGACCAAAUUAAAAAA
Molecule: non-coding RNA, 5395 nt
Organism: Momordica charantia (bitter melon)
Lineage: Eukaryota; Viridiplantae; Streptophyta; Magnoliopsida; Cucurbitales; Cucurbitaceae
Source: RefSeq, a predicted model, not a curated record